This is a long non-coding RNA of Sapajus apella (tufted capuchin), 2515 nucleotides long. RefSeq lists it as uncharacterized. The record is from RefSeq and is a predicted model, not a curated record. Lineage: Eukaryota; Metazoa; Chordata; Mammalia; Primates; Cebidae. The transcript is spliced from 5 exons.
AGGGAGGGAGGGAGGAAGCAAGCACCUCCACCAUUGUAGGCAGGAUCUGUGAGAGCUGAACAGGGCCAGGCAGCUAGGUACCACUCUGGGACUCUGGGGUUUCUUAGGGGAUGACGUGUUUCUGCGGUCCAGGUAAGAGGAAUUCAGGGUCACACAUCCAAGGAUGUGAGUCCAUGUGGCAGCUGGGCCCCUCGGAGCCCCUCUGUGUUCUGGUCUCCUCUAAAUGCAGAUGAUGAUGAGAAUCCAUGCCUAGUCCACGGCUUGGCCGGUCUCCGGAAGAGUGUGUUUCCUACAGCACUCGGUGCAGCAGGAGGCAGGAGAGAGAACUGAACAUCCAGCCAGCCUCCCACCAGAGCUCAGGCCACAGGCUUCAGGAUCCGCUGCCAUCCUCACCGGCUUAGCUCCCUGCUGCAGGCUCAGUUAAGAAACCCUGGGAGGUGGGCUGCUCCAAGUGCAGGCUGCCCCCCAGGCAUGUGGAACACCAGCCCUGACUGCCAGGGCCAUCUGAGGUGGACUGACCAUCCCCUGGGCACUUGGAGGUAGUGUGGGCAUGGUGUGAGGAGUGGCCAUUCAUCAUCCUUUCCUGCAAGGCCUGGGCCAGGUUAGAGAUGAACCCCAGCAGUCUCAUACCCACCAAGGCCACUGGGAGCUUUCACAUAGUCACUGCCAGGAGUGGCUGCUGGCUGGGGAGAGGAUCCUGGAGUGCCGGUCAUCGGAGGCCCUCACAGGUGACCGGGAACGUGGUGGAGCAGCAGGAUACCUCUUCUCUGCCAUGCUCUGUGUUGGGAUUUGCUCUGGUGCCCCUGCAGCCACUUAACAGCUCGCCUGGCGAGGAUUGGGUAUUGCCGGCCCAAGGCCUGCUUCAAAGCCUAAAUAUCUGUGGGGUGGGCACAGGGAGGGGUGCACCCCAGAAAGCAGUCCUGGGAUCUACCUUUCCACUUUAGCCUUUCUUCCUGCUGGGGGGCCUUCCUCCCAUGAGUAUUGUCAGUUCUUAGCAAGUAGAAAUACAGGAUACCUAGUUAUAUUUGUAUUUCAAAUAAAGAUUUGAACAAGAGUUUAGUAUAAGCACAUGCCAAAUGUUGCAUGGGUGUUCUGCAUUUAUCUAGCAGCUGUACCUGCUAGACUUUGGGCUGUGUAGUUAGGUCUUUGGAAAUGACACCUGCAUGGGCAGGGAGCUGAGGCUGCCGGCUGGGGUGAGCCAGGGCUGGCCACCAGGCUUCAGAGCCCGCAUGCAGAGAAUGGAUGUGGGGUUAGAAGGGGCCGGAAGAACCAGCCUCUGCAGGUGCAGAAGAGAGAAGCUGCAUACACUCCCAAGGCCCCGUGAGCCCUCACGUGGGUGGGCUGUGGUCUCCCGGGGCCUGCUAGGAAAUCCCCCUCCACCUGAGCUCACUUAAGAAGGUCUCUGUUUUCCAAACCCUGUCCCCUGUAGCACCUGCCCUGCAGUAGUCACGAGGAACUCUCCCAUGAGGUGCAGAGGAUGCUCACUCAGUGACCCCUGGGCCACCCCACAUCACAGGGAUGGGGCUCUCUAGUGGUCCUAGGAGUACCUCAUUUCUGUCACAUCCCCACCCCUGGGCCUACAGGACGUGAGCUUGAAGGGAACUGAAAAGACUGGGCAUGAGAGGGAAGGGCCAGGAUAGAUGCAUCUUCAGUAGAAGGAAGGGGCUGUGUCUUCCUGCCCCCACACAGGGGCUGGGUAACUUGCUUUUUUUUCAUUAACAGGUUCGCCUUAGGGGAAAAGGGGGCCUCACCAAAGGAGGGCUCCUAGUGGAUCAGCCUAGCUUAGGAGAAUUCUGUGUUGGGCUUUGCAGCCAAAGACCAAUUAGUUAUUAGAAUUUUUCAUUUGUAAGUGUUUGAGGAUAUGGCUCAAGCUAGCUUAAACAGAAAGAGGAAAUUUAUUGGCUGUGGAAUGGGACAUAGCUUCAGGCACUGUUGGUUUUAGGAGAUCAAGUUGAAUCCAUAUUCUGUCUCUCUUACACACUCUGUGUCUCCACAAUUCUCUUCUGUUCCCCGCUUUUUAGGUUUCUUCCUCAGACCAGCUCUCCCAGCAGCAACCUGAUCAUCAACAGCUCCAAGGUCCCUGGCAGAUGACACUCCUGGAUCCCUCACAUGACCACCUAGGAUGUCUUGGGUGGAGACUGAGCCACUGCCUGCCACCAGGGUGACUGCUCCUCCAAGAGUUGCCCAGAUCUGAAGUGCACCUUGUGUGAUGGGAGACGCACCUUCGCUGUGCUCAGCCUUGAGGUUUGGUGCUGUCUGCUGCUGCAGCACAUGCUGGCCUCUCCUGACACCUCAGCAGUCCCUGGGCAAGCUGAGGCUCCACCGGCCCCAUGAUAGCUGAUCUGCUCCUUCUCUAGUCUCGGGAUCUGCGCCCUGCCCCUUCUCUAUCAAAUAUUCCUGGGCUGGCUGAUUGAAAUACUAAUAUGAGCUAAUAUCUUUUUUUAAAAAAAUUAAAUUGACAAAACUGUAUACAUGUAUGGUGUACAACAUGAUAUAUACAUGUGAGAGAUACAGU